AUGGUUAUUACAGAGUCUUGUUCUUCUGAUAAGAGGGAGACAAAUUACUCUUCAUGCACAAAAAAUUACUGUUACGUUUGCAAGAAACCUCAAACUAAAAUUUCCCGUCACUUUAAAAAGCAUGAAAAAGAAGAGCCUGAUAUUGCUCAAGCAUUCUUGUUCCCUAAAAACUCUAACGAGAGAAAAGCUUUACUUGAGAAGCUGCGGGACAAAGGCAAUUACCAACAUAAUCAAGAGGCAAUGCAGAAUCAGAGUGGACCACUGAAAUUAAAACGAAGACCAGGAAGAUCGAACAUCUCACUUAAUGCCAAAAAGUAUGUGCACUGCGUGUAUUGUAAAGGCACGUUUGCUCGCAAAGAGCUUUGGCGCCAUACACGUAGAUGUCCUUCAAAGGAAGCCUCAAACACUGACGCAACUGGUAGGGCCAAAGUCUUAGUUCUGGCUGAUGUUGCAGAGUCAACAUUCUCCAAAGCUAUUUCUCCUGGGUUGUGGAAGAUCCUUGGAAAUAUGAAGCAAGAUGAGGUAUCAUCGGCAUCUCGAAAUGAUUUCCUCAUACUGCAACUUGGUCAGUCUCUCUACAACAAACAUGGAAGUGAUCCAACAAAAUUUGAAUACAUGAGACAGAAGGUUCGGGAAAUGGGCAGGCUAUUGUUGAGCUUGAGAAAAAGUUCUAUAUUUAGCUUUGAAGAUGCUGUAAAACCGACAAACUUUUACCGAGUUAUUGAGGCUGUGAAAGACGUCGCGGGUUAUGAUGAAGAGAAGCACUGCUAUCGCACACCAAGUCUUGCUCUAAAAUUAGGACACUCUCUGAAGAAGAUUGGUGACAUUAUUCUCUGCAGAGCCAUUUCAGCAGAAGAUGAAGUGACGAUAAAAGCACCAGAGCGAUUCACAAGGCUGUGCACAAAAGAAUGGACCGAACUUGUCUCCCACACUGCUCUUGCUACUUUGAGCAAGUCAAAGUUCAACAAAACUUUGACCAUACCAUUCACAAAGGAUGUGCAGCUUUUGCACCAGUAUCUGGAGAAGAAAUCAGUUGAUGCUGUUGAGAACCUUAAGAAGCACGAGUCGCCACAGAUGUAUGCAGAACUUGCCAGGGUGACACUCACGCAAAUAAUUAUCUUCAACAGACGCCAUGCAGGAGAAGUUUCAAAAAUGACACUUGAGUCUUUCAUGAAAAGAGACCAGACUGAGCUCCAUGAGGACAUAGCUAAUGGUCUCUCACUGUUUGAGCAAAAGCUAGCAAAGCACUUCAGCAGGGUUGAAAUUAUGGGCAAAAGGGGAAGAAAAGUUGCUGUUUUAUUAAACCCUGACGUUGUCAGUGCAACAGCCCUUCUUGCAGACAAAAGAGACGCAUGUAAUGUCCACAAAGACAACCCUUUCUUAUUUGGAAAGCCACAGUGCCCCCCCACUAGUUUCUACAGGGGACAGGACUGCAUCAGGAUCUUUGCAGGUCAAUGUGGUGCCAAGAAUUCUGAAUAUCUUCGGUCUACACAUUUUCGCAAGCACGUUGCAACACUAUCCCAGAUUCUGAACCUCAAGAACAAUGAGCUGGACCAACUAGCAAACUUUUUGGGCCAUGACAUACGGGUCCACAGAGACUUUAUCGACUUCCAGAGGCAACCAUCGAAAUUGCAAAAAUCUCCAAGCUUCUAUUGGCCAUGGAGAAAGGAUCUCUGGCAAAAUUCCAAGGAAAAUCUCUUGAAGAGAUUGACAUUGAAGGUAUGUGCCUAA
Gadus morhua (Atlantic cod) is the source of this 1731-nucleotide long non-coding RNA. NCBI's taxonomy places the organism in Eukaryota, Metazoa, Chordata, Actinopteri, Gadiformes, Gadidae. The record is from Ensembl.